Molecule: long non-coding RNA, 1589 nt
Organism: Stylophora pistillata
Lineage: Eukaryota; Metazoa; Cnidaria; Anthozoa; Scleractinia; Pocilloporidae
Source: RefSeq, a predicted model, not a curated record
AUGAUAAUCGCGAAUAGUUAUUUAUUACAUAAUCCAGAUAUUAUCAUGUUAACAAUUCUGUGGUUGGAUAUUUUUUUAAUCGCUUUAUAAAUGCGAAAAAAAAUUAUUUAAGAUCAGAAAAUCCCUUGAAAUGGGAUUCAAAACGAUGGCUUAAGCCACAGUUGGCCAGCAAACAAGUUCCCCGCAUUCAAGCGUGGGAAAAGAAAACCCUUUGGUCGACCUCGUGAUAUUUUGAAAGUCAACAAGGGGCGCUUAGCGCUUGACGUGAAAGUCCUCAAGAAAGCAGAGCAGCAACUCACUCAACCACACCGAAGUCAUUCUAAGAUGAUAUGAAGAGGUUACUGCCAGCGUCAUCCAUGUCAUUACGUAAGGUAAUUGUGUAGUUUAAACGAACUAUAAACGCCGACCUCACGAAAACACGUGUUUGAAGCCUGAAGUAUUUUUGUAAAAGCCCUUUCCGAGUAGGCGAUAUCAGAAACAUCAAAACUUCUACCCGUUAGAAAUUUUCAGGAAAUGCCAUUAGUGAUUUUUAUUUCACCAAGAAGUGGACCUCACAUAACUUUUUACUUAAUACUAUCGACACUCGCUGGUCAGGAAAAAAUUUUAAUGUGACAGCUACUUGGACAAGAAUUCUUUUAAAAAAAUAUUUCUUUGAGUAUAAUGUUAAGACACGUGCUGUAAAAUUCUUUGGUAUAAGAUUGCUUCCUUCCGGAGAGAGGGUAAAGGGCGUCUGUCACUAGUGCCAAUGAAAAGGCGCUAACAGAAGACUUGUGACAAAUUUUAUACGAAGAUUUUACGAGCACGUUUAUAUUGUGCGCAAAUUGCCGGAACUUUCUGUCUGUUUUUAAGCCGUUUGAGCGAUAACUUGUUCUCAAAAGCUGACAUUUUUCUUUUAUCGUUGUGCCGGUGCCGUUUAAGAUUCAGAAAAUAUUGAAAUUGAGAGCGAGCAAAAUCAGAGGUGACUUUUACCGUUUUGUUUCAAUUUGCGCUUUUUAUGCAAGUCCAUCUGAUGAAAUUAACUGGAGCAAGAGCAGUUGCAACGCUGAUAUCAGUUACAACAACAACAACAAUGGCGACAACAAUUACAACAACAGCCGCGACAUACUGCCUCAGCGAAAAAAGACUGUUUGUUCUGAUUAAUCGCCCAGUUAUGUUCUCAAAUUCUGAAAAAUCCUUAGAUGUUGGAUUCCUCAACUGUCAACCCUCUCCAGGCGUCGAAUAUCCAAAGAUAUCAAAUUUAGCUAUCUUCAAAUAGCCGUGUCUUGCGUGAUUGAUCAGUCCUACGUAAACGAUGAUGCCCCUUAAUCAGUUUCCAAACACUUUUUAGGAUGGUUUGCAGUGUUUUGGUUCGAAAAUGUAAGAGUGGGCGGAAAUCCGUUUCCCAACUGAGCUAAACAACUGAGCUAAACAGCUCUGCGUGAUUCAAGGUACUGAAAGAAGCCGACAAAAACAAUUAAGAAUAAUUUUAAAAGAUUACUGACUCGCAAUUUCCUUCUCUCACUAACGCGAGAGAUUGUGGUCACUAAAAUAAUACAAAGAAGUCUUAAGUCAGCGUUUACGUCAUAAAACUGCUUGUCGAAGACGUCAAA